CCCAGACUCCUACGGGAGGCAGCAGUGGGGAAUAUUGGGCAAUGGAGGAAACUCUUACCCAGCAAUGCCGCGUGAAUGAAGAAGGUCUUCGGAUUGUAAAGUUCUUUAAUUGGGGACGAAAAAAAUGACGGUACCCAAGGAAUAAGCCCCGGCUAACUACGUGCCAGCAGCCGCGGUAAUGCGUAGGGGGCAAGCGUUAUCCGGAUUUACUGGGUGUAAAGGGAGCGUAGACGGCAGUGCAAGUCUGAAGUGAAAGGCGGGGGCCCAACCCCCGGACUGCUUUGGAAACUGUGCUGCUGGAGUGCAGGAGAGGCAAGUGGAAUUCCUAGUGUAGCGGUGAAAUGCGUAGAUAUUAGGAGGAACACCAGUGGCGAAGGCGGCUUGCUGGACUGUAACUGACGUUGAGGCUCGAAAGCGUGGGGAGCAAACAGGAUUAGAUACCCCAGUAG
Molecule: ribosomal RNA, 449 nt
Filed under: uncultured bacterium
Lineage: Bacteria
Description: bacterial SSU rRNA
Rfam family: Bacterial small subunit ribosomal RNA
Source: RNAcentral